Molecule: ribosomal RNA, 240 nt
Filed under: uncultured Lactobacillus sp.
Lineage: Bacteria; Bacillati; Bacillota; Bacilli; Lactobacillales; Lactobacillaceae
Description: partial 16S ribosomal RNA
Rfam family: Bacterial small subunit ribosomal RNA
Source: RNAcentral
UAACCUGCCCAAGAGAUCGGGAUAACACCUGGAAACAGAUGCUAAUACCGGAUAACAACAGAUGAUGCCUAUCAACUGUUUAAAAGAUGGUUCUGCUAUCACUCUUGGAUGGACCUGCGGUGCAUUAGCUAGUUGGUAGGGUAACGGCCUACCAAGGCGAUGAGGCAUAGCCGAGUUGAGAGACUGAUCGGCCACAUUGGGACUGAGACACGGCCCAAACUCCUACGGGAGGCAGCAGCU